Molecule: ribosomal RNA, 369 nt
Filed under: uncultured organism
Description: bacterial SSU rRNA
Rfam family: Bacterial small subunit ribosomal RNA
Source: RNAcentral
CGAAGGAUCCAAGCGUUAUCCGGAUUUAUUGGGUUUAAAGGGUGCGUAGGCGGACUAUUAAGUCAGUGGUGAAAUCCUGCAGCUUAACUGCAGAACUGCCAUUGAUACUGAUGGUCUUGAGUACAUUUGAGGUGGGCGGAAUGUGUCAUGUAGUGGUGAAAUACUUAGAUAUGACACAGAACUCCGAUUGCGAAGGCAGCUCACUAAACUGUAACUGACGCUGAGGCACGAAAGCGUGGGGAUCAAACAGGAUUAGAUACCCUGGUAGUCCACGCCCUAAACGAUGAUUACUCGAUGUGUGCGAUACACUGUACGCGUCUAAGCGAAAGCAUUAAGUAAUCCACCUGGGGAGUACGGCCGGCAAGGCUG